AGAACGAACGCUGGCGGCAUGCCUAAUACAUGCAAGUCGAACGAACUCUUCGGAGUUAGUGGCGCACGGGUGCGUAACGCGUGGGAAUCUGCCCCUUGGUUCGGAAUAACAGUUGGAAACGACUGCUAAUACCGGAUGAUGACGAAAGUCCAAAGAUUUAUCGCCAAGGGAUGAGCCCGCGUAGGAUUAGCUAGUUGGUGAGGUAAAGGCUCACCAAGGCAACGAUCCUUAGCUGGUCUGAGAGGAUGAUCAGCCACAACGUGGGAGUGAGACACGGCCCAG
This 282-nucleotide ribosomal RNA is filed under the name uncultured soil bacterium. RNAcentral describes it as "partial 16S ribosomal RNA". It matches the Rfam family "Bacterial small subunit ribosomal RNA", at positions 26 to 334 of the family's 1533-position model. The record is from RNAcentral.